RNAcentral lists this ribosomal RNA (386 nucleotides) under uncultured bacterium. RNAcentral describes it as "bacterial SSU rRNA". It matches the Rfam family "Bacterial small subunit ribosomal RNA", at positions 30 to 425 of the family's 1533-position model. The record is from RNAcentral.
AUUGAACGCUGGCGGAAUGCCUAACACAUGCAAGUCGAGCGGGGUGUAGCAAUACACCUAGCGGCGGACGGGUGAGGAAUACAUAGGAAUCUACCUUUAAGUGGGGGAUAGCCCGGGGAAACCCGGAUUAAUACCGCAUGAUCUCGCAAGAGCAAAAGCGGGGGACCGUAAGGCCUCGCGCUGAAAGAUGAGCCUAUGUCGGAUUAGCUAGUUGGCGGGGUAAAGCCCACCAAGGCGACGAUCCGUAGCUGGUCUGAGAGGACGAUUAGCCACACCGGAACUGAGACACGGUCCGGACUCCUACGGGAGGCAGCAGUGGGGAAUAUUGGACAAUGGGCGCAAGCCUGAUCCAGCAAUUCCGCGUGUGUGAAGAAGGCCUUCGGUUG